This 68-nucleotide non-coding RNA is filed under the name unclassified sequences. Its description in RNAcentral is "DUF3800-IX RNA". It matches the Rfam family "DUF3800-IX RNA". Rfam says of the family: Actinobacteria, Firmicutes (1 example), Nitrospirae, Proteobacteria, Verrucomicrobia (1 example). Nearby to DUF3800 The record is from Rfam by way of RNAcentral.
CCGCCCCCGACGACAAGGUAGCCAGUUGAGGCUGCCUUCCUCUUACGAGGAUAGUCGGGGGCGUUUUA